UGUAGUCAUAUGCUUGUCUCAAAGAUUAAGCCAUGCAUGUCUAAGUAUAAGCAAUUAUACCGCGAAACUGCGAAUGGCUCAUUAAAUCAGUUAUCGUUUAUUUGAUAGUACCUUACUACAUGGAUAACCGUGGUAAUUCUAGAGCUAAUACAUGCUAAAAAUCCCGACUUCGGAAGGGAUGUAUUUAUUAGAUUAAAAACCAAUGCCCUUCGGGGCUCUCUGGUGAUUCAUAAUAACUUCUCGAAUCGCACGGCCUUGCGCCGGCGAUGGUUCAUUCAAAUUUCUGCCCUAUCAACUUUCGACGGCUGGGUCUUGGCCAGCCAUGGUGACAACGGGUAACGGAGGGUUAGGGCUCGACCCCGGAGAAGGAGCCUGAGAAACGGCUACUACAUCCAAGGAAGGCAGCAGGCGCGCAAAUUACCCAAUCCCGACUCGGGGAGGUAGUGACAAUAAAUACUGAUACAGGGCUCCUUUGGGUCUUGUAAUUGGAAUGAGUACAAUUUAAAUCCCUUAACGAGGAACAAUUGGAGGGCAAGUCUGGUAAUCG
This 547-nucleotide ribosomal RNA is filed under the name uncultured eukaryote. Its description in RNAcentral is "SSU rRNA". It matches the Rfam family "Eukaryotic small subunit ribosomal RNA", at positions 21 to 570 of the family's 1831-position model. The record is from RNAcentral.